GAUGAACGCUGGCGGCGUGCCUAAUACAUGCAAGUCGAGCGAACAGACGAGGAGCUUGCUCCUCUGACGUUAGCGGCGGACGGGUGAGUAACACGUGGAAAACCUACCUAUAAGACUGGGAUAACUUCGGGAACCGGAGCUAAUCCCGGAUAAUAUAUUGAACCGCAUGGUUCUAUAGUGAAAGACGGUUUUGCUGUCACUUAUAGGUGGAUCCGCGCCGCAUUAGCUAGUUGGUAAGGUAACGGCUUACCAAGGAAACGAUGCGUAGCCGACCUGAGAGGGUGAUCGGCCACACUGGAACUGAGACACGGUCCAGACUCCUACGGGAGGCAGCAGUAGGGAAUCUUCCGCAAUGGGCGAAAGCCUGACGGAGCAACGCCGCGUGAGUGAUGAAGGUCUUCGGAUCGUAAAACUCUGUUAUUAGGGAAGAACAAAUGUGUAAGUAACUAUGCACGUCUUGACGGUACCUAAUCAGAAAGCCACGGCUAACUACGUG
This 496-nucleotide ribosomal RNA is filed under the name uncultured bacterium. Its description in RNAcentral is "partial 16S ribosomal RNA". It matches the Rfam family "Bacterial small subunit ribosomal RNA", at positions 28 to 507 of the family's 1533-position model. The record is from RNAcentral.